AAGACUAUAGACCUGCGGAGUACCUGCGGAAGGAUCAUUACCGAGUUUUCAACUCCCAAACCCCAUGUGAACUUAUACCAUUUACAACCGUUGCUUCGGCGGGUUCUCGCCCCGGGCUUUACACCCCGGAACCAGGCGGCCCGCCGGGGGACCCAAACUCUAGAUUUAUAUUUUAGCAUGUCUGAGUGGAAUCAUUACAAAAUGAAUCAAAACUUUCAACAACGGAUCUCUAGAUCGGAA
RNAcentral lists this unclassified non-coding RNA (240 nucleotides) under soil metagenome. RNAcentral describes it as "partial contains 5.8S ribosomal RNA, internal transcribed spacer 2, and large subunit ribosomal RNA". The record is from RNAcentral.